AGUCGAGCGAACGGACGAGAAGCUUGCUUCUCUGAUGUUAGCGGCGGACGGGUGAGUAACACGUGGAUAACCUACCUAUAAGACUGGGAUAACUUCGGGAAACCGGAGCUAAUACCGGAUAAUAUUUUGAACCGCAUGGUUCAAAAGUGAAAGACGGUCUUGCUGUCACUUAUAGAUGGAUCCGCGCUGCAUUAGCUAGUUGGUAAGGUAACGGCUUACCAAGGCAACGAUGCAUAGCCGACCUGAGAGGGUGAUCGGCCACACUGGAACUGAGACACGGUCCAGACUCCUACGGGAGGCAGCAGUAGGGAAUCUUCCGCAAUGGGCGAAAGCCUGACGGAGCAACGCCGCGUGAGUGAUGAAGGUCUUCGGAUCGUAAAACUCUGUUAUUAGGGAAGAACAUAUGUGUAAGUAACUGUGCACAUCUUGACGGUACCUAAUCAGAAAGCCACGGCUAACUACGUGCCAGCAGCCGCGGUAAUACGUAGGUGGCAAGCGUUAUCCGGAAUUAUUGGGCGUAAAGCGCGCGUAGGCGGUUUUUUAAGUCUGAUGUGAAAGCCCACGGCUCAACCGUGGAGGGUCAUUGGAAACUGGAAAACUUGAGUGCAGAAGAGGAAAGUGGAAUUCCAUGUGUAGCGGUGAUAUGCGCAGAGAUAUGGAGGUA
This 664-nucleotide ribosomal RNA is filed under the name uncultured Staphylococcus sp. RNAcentral's name for it is "bacterial SSU rRNA". It matches the Rfam family "Bacterial small subunit ribosomal RNA", at positions 60 to 706 of the family's 1533-position model. The record is from RNAcentral. Lineage: Bacteria; Bacillati; Bacillota; Bacilli; Caryophanales; Staphylococcaceae.